AGGACGAACGCUGGCGGCGUGCUUAACACAUGCAAGUCGAGCGGUAAGGCCUUUCGGGGUACACGAGCGGCGAACGGGUGAGUAACACGUGGGUGAUCUGCCCUGCACUUCGGGAUAAGCCUGGGAAACUGGGUCUAAUACCGGAUAUGACCUCCUAUCGCAUGGUGGGUGGUGGAAAGAUUUAUCGGUGCAGGAUGGGCCCGCGGCCUAUCAGCUUGUUGGUGGGGUAAUGGCCUACCAAGGCGACGACGGGUAGCCGACCUGAGAGGGUGACCGGCCACGACUGGGACUGAGACACGGCCCAGACUCCUACGGGAGGCAGCAGUGGGGAAUAUUGCACAAUGGGCGAAAGCCUGAUGCAGCGACGCGCGUGGGGAUGACGGCUUCGGUUGUAACCUCUUUCAGCAGGACGAGCGCAAGUGACGUACCUGCAGAAGAAGCACCGGCUAACGUACGUCGCCGAGCGACG
This 469-nucleotide ribosomal RNA is filed under the name uncultured soil bacterium. RNAcentral's name for it is "bacterial SSU rRNA". It matches the Rfam family "Bacterial small subunit ribosomal RNA", at positions 26 to 519 of the family's 1533-position model. The record is from RNAcentral.